Picea glauca (white spruce) is the source of this 132-nucleotide non-coding RNA. The record is from Rfam. NCBI's taxonomy places the organism in Eukaryota, Viridiplantae, Streptophyta, Pinopsida, Pinales, Pinaceae.
GAUUUAUUCACAUUUAUCUGCAUGUGAAAGUGAAGAAAUUCAACCAAGCAUGGGUAAACGGUGGGAGUAACUAUGAAUUUCUUAAGGUAUCCAUAUGCCUCAUCAUAUAAUUAGUGACGUGCAUGAAUGGAU